GGGGGGGGGGGGGGGGGGGGGGGGGGGUGGGGGGGGAAGGGGGGGGGCCAGGCUGGCUUGGGUCGUCGGGGGGCGAGCGGGGGGGUAGCGCGGGGGGGAGCUGCCCUGCACUUCGGGGUAGGCCUGGGAAACUGGGUCUAUUCCCGGGUGGGGCCCCAUUUGGGCGGGGGGGGUGGAAGGUUUUUCGGUUUGGGGGGAGCUCUCGGCCUAUCAGCUUGUUGGUGGGGUAAUGGACUACCAAGGCGUCGACGGGUAGCCGGCCUGAGAGGGUGUACGGCCACAUUGGGACUGAGAUACGGCCCAGACUCCUACGGGAGGCAGCAGUGGGGAAUAUUGCACAAUGGGCGCAAGCCUGAUGCAGCGACGCCGCGUGGGGGAUGACGGCCUUCGGGUUGUAAACUCCUUUCGCUAGGGACGAAGCGUUAUGUGACGGUACCUGGAGAAGAAGCACCGGCUAACUACGUG
This 465-nucleotide ribosomal RNA is filed under the name uncultured bacterium. RNAcentral describes it as "partial 16S ribosomal RNA". It matches the Rfam family "Bacterial small subunit ribosomal RNA", at positions 38 to 507 of the family's 1533-position model. The record is from RNAcentral.